AUUAGAUAGAAAUUGUGUUGGUAGUGAUAUAAACAUUGUUAAUGAUAUGGGUCACAAUAUUAGUGGUAAUAAUAAGAACAAAUUAGGAAUGCAUGGUAACAAUGACGUUGUUGCUAUGAAUGUAAAUGAUAGUGUAAUAAAUCACGAGGUAAAUGGUAUGGGUGUUGGUAUUAGUGGCGGUGUAGACCAUCACAUACAAAAUAGUGUGAAAAGUGAAAUGAAAUCAAAAUCGAAUAAUAACAUGAAUAGUAAUACAAGUAACAACAUAAUGAUAAAUGCAAAUAACAGUAUUAACAGUAAUGACAAUAUAAUGAAUAAAUCAAAUUUUGAAAAGGGAGAAAAUCAUAAUGAACAUGAACCCGUAACAGGAGUAGUUAAAAAAAAAGUUGGAAGACCUAAAGGAACAGGUACAGCAAAGAAAGUAAUAAAAAAAGUAGAAAAAGUAUCAACAUCUUCAUCUGGUUAUCCAGGUGUUAGUUGGAAUAAAAGAAUGUGUGCAUGGUUAGCUUUUUUUUAUGAGGGUUCUUCAAGAAGAAGUAGAACAUUUCAUCCGAAAUAUUUUAAUAUGGACAAGGAAAAAGCGAAAUUAGCAGCAGUUGAUUUUAUGAAAUCAUUAGAGAAUAAUGGUCGAAAAAAAACUAUAAAAAGUAAAGCAGAUAUAGGUAAAACAAAAGUUUUAAAUGAUAAUAAUAUAAACAUAUUAAAUUCUGAUGCUGAUAACAGUAAAUGUUUAGGUAAUAAUAAUAAAAGUAUUGGUAGAGGAAGUAAUAAUAAUAAUAAUCGUAGAGGUGGUGGUAAUAGUAGUAAUAAUAAUGAUAGUGGUAGUAAUAAUAACAAUAGUGGAAGUAAUAACAAUAACAGUGGUAGUAAUAAUAACAAUACUGGUAGUAAUAAUAAUUUAAAUAGAAUAAGUUCUAAUAAUAAUAAUAAUAAUAAUAAUAAUACUCCGAUACAUUUAUUGAAUAUGAAUCCAUUUUAUUACAUGCACAGUAUUAAUCGAAAUGGUACAAUGACAGAUAUGACCAAUGCAGAAAGAAAAGGUUUGAAUACUACAUUUAACACUUUAAGUAACAAUACAACACCACCAAUAUGUAAUAAUAGUAAUAAUAAUAAUAAUAGUGGUAUUUCAAAAAGUAUACAUAACCAGAACAAUAUAUUUAUGCACAACAAUAAUAAUG
Molecule: long non-coding RNA, 1178 nt
Filed under: Piliocolobus tephrosceles (Ugandan red Colobus)
Lineage: Eukaryota; Metazoa; Chordata; Mammalia; Primates; Cercopithecidae
Description: lncRNA (ENSPTEG00000013971.1)
Source: RNAcentral